CCUACGGGAGGCUGCAGUGGGGAAUAUUGGGCAAUGGGCGCAAGCCUGACCCAGCAACGCCGCGUGAAGGAAGAAGGCUUUCGGGUUGUAAACUUCUUUUGUCAGGGAAGAGGAGAAGACGGUACCUGACGAAUAAGCCAAGGCUAACUACGGGCCAGCAGCCGCGGUAAUACGUAGGUGGCAAGCGUUGUCCGGAUUUACUGGGUGUAAAGGGCGUGUAGCCGGGUUGACAAGUCAGAUGUGAAAGCCUGCGGCUUAACCGCAGAACUGCAUUUGAAACUGUUGAUCUUGAGUACUGGAGCGGCAGCUGGAAUUCCUAGUGUAGCGGUGACAUGCGUAGAUAUUAGGAGGAACCCCAGUGGCGACGGCGGUCUGCUGGACAGCAACUGACGGUGAGGCGCGAAAGCGUGGGGAGCAAACAGGAUUAGAUACCCCAGUAGUC
Molecule: ribosomal RNA, 442 nt
Filed under: uncultured bacterium
Lineage: Bacteria
Description: partial 16S ribosomal RNA
Rfam family: Bacterial small subunit ribosomal RNA
Source: RNAcentral